GUCUACGGCCAUGCCACCCUGAACAAGCCCGAUCUCGUCUGGUCUCGGAAGCUAAGGCUGGGCCUGGUUAGUACUUGGAUGGGAGAUCACUUAGGAAGACCAGGUGCUGUAGGCG
RNAcentral lists this ribosomal RNA (115 nucleotides) under Pteropus alecto (black flying fox). RNAcentral also lists the same sequence under 1 other name. Lineage: Eukaryota; Metazoa; Chordata; Mammalia; Chiroptera; Pteropodidae. The record is from RNAcentral.